Molecule: ribosomal RNA, 450 nt
Filed under: uncultured bacterium
Lineage: Bacteria
Description: bacterial SSU rRNA
Rfam family: Bacterial small subunit ribosomal RNA
Source: RNAcentral
UACGGAAGGCAGCAGUGGGGAAUAUUGCACAAUGGGCGCAAGCCUGAUGCAGCCAUGCCGCGUGUAUGAAGAAGGCCUUCGGGUUGUAAAGUACUUUCAGUCGUGAGGAAGGUGUUAAGGUUAAUAACCUUAGCAAUUGACGUUAGCGACAGAAGAAGCACCGGCUAACUCCGUGCCAGCAGCCGCGGUAAUACGGAGGGUGCGAGCGUUAAUCGGAAUUACUGGGCGUAAAGGGCACGCAGGCGGUUAAUUAAGUUGGAUGUGAAAUCCCCGGGCUUAACCUGGGAAUGGCAUUCAAGACUGGUUAGCUAGAGUCUUGUAGAGGGGGUAGAAUUCCAUGUGUAGCGGUGAAAUGCGUAGAGAUGUGGAGGAAUACCGGUGCGAAGGCGGCCCCUGGACAAAGACUGACGCUCAUGUGCGAAAGCGUGGGGAGCAAACAGGGAUUAGAUA